UAGUCCACGCAGUAAACGAUGAAUGUUAGUCGUCGGUGAGCUAGUCUCAUCGGUGAUGCAGCUAACGCAUUAAACAUUCCGCCUGGGGAGUACGGUCGCAAGAUUAAAACUCAAAGGAAUAGACGGGGACCCGCACAAGUGGUGGAGCAUGUGGUUUAAUUCGAAGAUACGCGAAGAACCUUACCUAGCCUUGACAUACUUAAGAAUUUUGCAGAGAUGUGAGAGUGCCUUCGGGAGCUUAAAUACAGGUGCUGCACGGCUGUCGUCAGCUCGUGUCGUGAGAUGUUGGGUUAAGUCCCGCAACGAGCGCAACCCUCGUCACUAGUUACUAACGGUUAGGCCGAGGACUCUAGUGAGACUGCCUUCGUAAGGAGGAGGAAGGUGAGGACGACGUCAAGUCAUCAUGGCCCUUACGGCUAGGGCAACACACGUGCUACAAUGGUUAGGACAAUGAGAGGCGAUACCGCGAGGUGGAGCAAAUCUAUAAACCUAAUCUCAGUUCGGA
RNAcentral lists this ribosomal RNA (505 nucleotides) under uncultured bacterium. RNAcentral describes it as "bacterial SSU rRNA". It matches the Rfam family "Bacterial small subunit ribosomal RNA", at positions 791 to 1297 of the family's 1533-position model. The record is from RNAcentral.